GGCGAAAUAGCUCAGCUGUGAAAUCUUUAGACUUAGAAUCUGGUGUCUGGUUCUAAUCUGCUUUUCGCCA
Molecule: non-coding RNA, 70 nt
Organism: Cordylochernes scorpioides
Lineage: Eukaryota; Metazoa; Arthropoda; Arachnida; Pseudoscorpiones; Chernetidae
Source: the annotation of a GenBank genome assembly